UCCCUGUAGCGCAAUCUAUAGCUCGUUGAACUUCUAAUCCAAAGGUCGUGGGUUCGAAUUCCACUUGGGGAG
This 72-nucleotide transfer RNA is filed under the name Trichonephila clavata. RNAcentral describes it as "tRNA-Arg". It matches the Rfam family "tRNA". Rfam says of the family: Transfer RNA (tRNA) molecules are approximately 80 nucleotides in length. Their secondary structure includes four short double-helical elements and three loops (D, anti-codon, and T loops). Further hydrogen bonds mediate the characteristic L-shaped molecular structure. tRNAs have two regions of fundamental functional importance: the anti-codon, which is responsible for specific mRNA codon recognition, and the 3' end, to which the tRNAs corresponding amino acid is attached (by aminoacyl-tRNA synthetases). tRNAs cope with the degeneracy of the genetic code in two manners: having more than one tRNA (with a specific anti-codon) for a particular amino acid; and 'wobble' base-pairing, i.e. permitting non-standard base-pairing at the 3rd anti-codon position. The record is from RNAcentral. Lineage: Eukaryota; Metazoa; Arthropoda; Arachnida; Araneae; Nephilidae.